UACGUAGGGCGCAAGCGUUGUCCGGAAUUAUUGGGCGUAAAGAGCUCGUAGGCGGUUUGUCGCGUCUGGUGUGAAAACUCAAGGCUCAACCUUGAGCUUGCAUCGGGUACGGGCAGACUAGAGUGUGGUAGGGGUGACUGGAAUUCCUGGUGUAGCGGUGGAAUGCGCAGAUAUCAGGAGGAACACCGGUGGCGAAGGCGGGUCUCUGGGCCGAUAUUGACGCUGAGGAGCGAAAGCGUGGGGAGCGAACAGG
This 253-nucleotide ribosomal RNA is filed under the name uncultured bacterium. RNAcentral describes it as "partial 16S ribosomal RNA". It matches the Rfam family "Bacterial small subunit ribosomal RNA", at positions 524 to 776 of the family's 1533-position model. The record is from RNAcentral.